Molecule: ribosomal RNA, 497 nt
Filed under: uncultured bacterium
Lineage: Bacteria
Description: partial 16S ribosomal RNA
Rfam family: Bacterial small subunit ribosomal RNA
Source: RNAcentral
GAUGAACGCUGGCGGCGUGCCUAAUACAUGCAAGUCGAGCGAACAGACGAGGAGCUUGCUCCUCUGACGUUAGCGGCGGACGGGUGAGUAACACGUGGAUAACCUACCUAUAAGACUGGGAUAACUUCGGGAAACCGGAGCUAAUACCGGAUAAUAUAUUGAACCGCAUGGCUCAAUAGUGAAAGACGGCUUUGCUGUCACUUAUAGAUGGAUCCGCGCCGCAUUAGCUAGUUGGUAAGGUAACGGCUUACCAAGGCAACGAUGCGUAGCCGACCUGAGAGGGUGAUCGGCCACACUGGAACUGAGACACGGUCCAGACUCCUACGGGAGGCAGCAGUAGGGAAUCUUCCGCAAUGGGCGAAAGCCUGACGGAGCAACGCCGCGUGAGUGAUGAAGGUCUUCGGAUCGUAAAACUCUGUUAUUAGGGAAGAACAAAUGUGUAAGUAACUAUGCACGUCUUGACGGUACCUAAUCAGAAAGCCACGGCUAACUACGUG